Molecule: ribosomal RNA, 478 nt
Filed under: Plestiodon quadrilineatus
Lineage: Eukaryota; Metazoa; Chordata; Lepidosauria; Squamata; Scincidae
Description: partial 16S ribosomal RNA
Rfam family: Bacterial large subunit ribosomal RNA
Source: RNAcentral
UUUAAACGGCCGCGGUAUUCUAACCGUGCAAAGGUAGCGUAAUCACCUGUCUUCUAAAUAAAGACCAGUAUGAACGGCUAAAUGAGAACAAACCUGUCUCUUGCAACCAAUCAGUGAAACUGAUCUCCUGGUCCAAAAGCCAGAAUAAACCCAUAAGACGAGAAGACCCUGUGGAGCUUUAAACAAAAUACUACGCACGCACUAAACCGCACCUAGUAAAAAGUUUUGAGUUGGGGCGACUUCGGAACCAAAAAAAGCUUCCGAGCACAGAACCACCCAUUCUUACCAAGACUAACAAGUCAAAGCCAAACACGACCCAGUAACACUGAUCAACGAACCAAGUUACCCCAGGGAUAACAGCGCCAUCUUCUUCAAGAGUCCAUAUCGACAAGAAGGUUUACGACCUCGAUGUUGGAUCAGGACACCCCAACGGUGCAGCCGCUGUUAAAGGUUCGUUUGUUCAACGAUUAAUAGUCCU